CCAGCUCAUACCCAUUUCAACCUUUAUUAAUAUUCCUAAGUUACUUUAGUACAUGAAGGAUUCAUUAUUUCAUCAUUUGGAACAUUCUCUUCAAGAUAAAAAAUAGACCAUGCUCUUCAAGACCAUGUCCUUGAACAAUGCCAGAGACCAUGUCCUUGGACGCAGGAGACAAAGAGCUAAGAAGAGCAGCAAACACCCUAAAUUCCUGAGAUUAGAUAAUGUGUGUCCCAAGAAAUCGGUCAUCUCCGCCCAAAAUCUACAUAACUAGUAUACUCUAGGAUUUCCGCCACACCUAUGGUCCGACAUUCUUCUCAUUGUAACCCCCCACUCAGAAAUCCUAUUUAAUUAAACUCUCUUCAUUCAUUAAACAGAGACAUUCACCAUCUUAAA
This is a long non-coding RNA of Antechinus flavipes (yellow-footed antechinus), 390 nucleotides long. RefSeq lists it as uncharacterized. The record is from RefSeq and is a predicted model, not a curated record. The transcript is spliced from 3 exons. NCBI's taxonomy places the organism in Eukaryota, Metazoa, Chordata, Mammalia, Dasyuromorphia, Dasyuridae.